This 450-nucleotide ribosomal RNA is filed under the name uncultured bacterium. Its description in RNAcentral is "partial 16S ribosomal RNA". It matches the Rfam family "Bacterial small subunit ribosomal RNA", at positions 354 to 796 of the family's 1533-position model. The record is from RNAcentral.
GUGGGGAAUCUUCCGCAAUGGACGAAAGUCUGACGGAGCAACGCCGCGUGAACGAUGACGGCCUUCGGGUUGUAAAGUUCUGUUAUACGGGACGAAUGGUACGACGGCCAAUACCCGUCGUAAGUGACGGUACCGUAAGAGAAAGCCACGGCUAACUACGUGCAAGCAGCCGCGGUAAUACGUAGGUGGCAAGCGUUGUCCGGAAUUAGUGGGCGUAAAGGGCGCGCAGGCGGCGUCGUAAGUCGGUCUUAAAAGUGCGGGGCUUAACCCCGUGAGGGGACCGAAACUGCGAUGCUAGAGUAUCGGAGAGGAAAGCGGAAUUCCUAGUGUAGCGGUGAAAUGCGUAGAUAUUAGGAGGAACACCAGUGGCGAAAGCGGCUUUCUGGACGACAACUGACGCUGAGGCGCGAAAGCCAGGGGAGCAAACGGGAUUAGAUACCCUGGUAGUCC